GUUCAGUAUUUAUAAUAUCAUGAUACCCUUCUGACCAGUCACUGUAUGAACCACCAUUCCUUCGAAAAACGACAAACCGAUAGACCCCGCUCAAUAUGCGGAAUCAGAUGUAGCUCCUCCCCCUAAUGCUAACGGUAAAUCUACGGCGGUUUGGAGGGAACCUUAAGCAGUCCUAUUCUGGCCUAUCACAGCACCAUUCGGAUCAAUGACAGUCAGCCUUCCAUUGCCGUUUACAUCCGUUGUUAAACAAUGGCAUAUUACGUCUACCGUGAAUUAAACAUUGACUGUGUAAAUGACAAAGGGCAAAAGGGGGUCGGGACCGGGUCUAAAGUACUGUAUAAACAGAACCGUUCAGACAACACAGUCAUAUUCACUAAUGCAUGUGUGGAUAUGUAUAGUGGAGUGUGUGUGUGUGUGUGUGUGUGCUCGUCGGGUAAUCCCACUGGAUGAUCUAAACUCUACUCUUCGACUGCUGAUUAAUUAACCAGCCUACCAUGGCACUACUGGAGUAACGAUAAUGAUGUCUGUUUAUCAAUCUAUAACCUGACAUUUCUAGGAGUGUUUGUGUGUGUGUUUGUGUGAGUGUGUUUGUGUGUGUGAGUGCGUGCGACUGCGUGUGUGUGUGUGUGAGUACAUGUGUGUGUAUGUGACUGUGGGUGUGUGCGUGUGUGUGUGUGAGUGCGUGUGUGUGUGUGACUGUGGGUGUGUGUGUGUGUUUGAGUGCGUGCCACAUAGUGUGUGGGAAUGUCACUGACGCAGUUUUGCUUCCGUAACUGUGGUUACAGCAUUGCCACCACAACUUUCACACACACACACACACACACCUCUCCCUCUUCUUCCAUCGCCACCCCCUCCACCCCCCCCCCCUCCUCCGCCCCUCAUCCAGUGAUGGUUGUGUCUGUAGCACACAGCCCAUGAGUUGAUGGGCACUGCUGGACCGGGAGGGCAGAUACAGCUGAAUUUGUCCCCCCAUUCUCCCUCUUUGCUUUUCCUCUCUUCGAUUCUCUCUCAAGCACUGUGUCUCUCUCUCCCGUUCUCUCUCUCUUUCUCUCUGUCUGUCUGCCCCUCUCUCUCCAGACAGCCAGACAGUCAGCCAAACAGGCCGCCUGGUGGGAGACGCUCCCCCUUAUCGGAGCACCCGGAACGGGCCGGAGCACGACGAGGCCUUCGGAAGGAAGGAGGGGAGGUGCUGAUGGAGGCGGUGGGGGUCUGUAAUGCAGACAGAGGGACACUGUGAAGGAAGGAAGGGAGGAGGAGAGGAACACAAGAUGGAGGGACAGACUCAGAGGGACGGAAAUACCAGAUCCAUCUAUGACAGGCUCUCCUGUGUGCACUCUUCACUCAUCCAUAGAACAUCAUCCUCAGAACAUCCAAAGAACAGCCAAAGAAUGUCCGUAGGAACCCUCCUAAAACCUUCUCUCUGGGGACACCUGGAGCAGUUCACCUGAAAUGUGGAACAACCAGGGGUCCCUGGGGAGAGGUUUGAGAACCACCGGCGUAGAAGACGAGUCGAAGACAGACGCAACAAAGACCAAGUCAAAGGGGUCAUUGUUGGGGUUUAAAGACUGACAGGGAGAACAAUGAAAUAAAGAUGGAUAGAGCAGCGCGAGAAAGGGCAAAAUAAAGACGGACAGAGCAGCGUGAGAAAGGUUGAAAUAAUGGUGGACAGAGCAGUGCGAGAAAGGGCAAAAUAAAGACGGACAGAGCAGCGCGAGAAAGGGCAAAAUAAAGACGGACAGAGCAGCGCGAGAAAGGUUGAAAUAAUGGUGGACAGAGCAAUGCGAGAAAGGGCAAAAUAAAGACGGACAGAGCAGCGCGAGAAAGCGUGAAAUAAAGAUAGAUAGAGCAGCGCGAGAAAGGGUGAAAUAAAGGUGGACAGAGCAGCGCGAGAAAGGAUGGAUAAAAAGAUGGAUUGAGCAGCAUGAUAUAGAAUUAAAUAAAGAUGGUUAGAGCAGCGUGAGAAUGGGUGGAUUAAAGACAGAGAGAGCAGCGUUAGAAGACUGCAGGCUGUUCGGUAGCUCUGUGUUGAUGGAUACAGGUAUAUAAAAAGGUAAAAAAGGCUUUUUAAACAUGACAAAGUGAAAAUGAAUAAUUAUGAAUCAAAUAAUUUCUCAUUUCAAUGUCUCAUUUUUCUCAAUACUCAGUCCACCAUUUUGAACAGUGGACAAUGUAACACUUUUAUUAAUCAGAAUGGAGUCAAUAUGCAUGUAUUCAAAUAUAUAUAUAUAUAUAUAUAUAUAACCCAUGAAAAGAUUAAUCAGCACCUCCCUCCACCUCCUAGCAAAUUACAGGUGUCUUUCAGCCUUCAAUCACCAUCUGUGUAUCUGUGUGUGUAUGUGUGUGUGUGUGUGUGUGUGUGUGUUACCUUCAUUAGGCCAUUCUGGCUAAGUGGCUUUUGAAACCGUUACAGGCUGGAGUGAAGGGAUGAUUGAUCAAUAGAAUAGAACACACCCACCCGCACACCCACCCGCACACACACACACACACAACCACCCCCCACCAACAACCACAUGCGUCAGCACACACAAUGAAAGUCGCGGAUGCAAAACAUCCUUUUGCUUAAAAGCAAUGACAAUACCGUUGUGCACAUACACUUAUCCUGAGUUCAAACACACACACACACACACACACUGUCUCCAUCGGAGAUGCCAAGCGCAUGUCUAUAAAGCCACAGGGAUUCACUGCCAUUUCAGUAGUCGCAGCCAGAGAGAGAGAAAGAGAGAGAGAGAGAGAGAAAGACACACAGAGAGAGAGAGUGAAAGACAGAGAGAGAGAGAGAGAGAGAGAGAGAGAGAGAGUGAAAGACUGAAAGGCACUGGGAAUGGAGAGAAAGAGGCAGAUAAAGACAGAACAAGAUAGAUAAAUAGAGAGAGCGAAGCUUAGAAGAAGCGACGAUCAAAACCACUUAAAGAAAAUCUAAUUCCAUGGGUUUUCUAAACGCCUGUCUCUUCCCUCCCUCCACCUCUUUUCCCCUCGCUAUCUCCCUCCAUCGCUUUCCCACUUUUCUCCGUAUUUCCUCUCAUAUCUCUGCCAUAACACACAUUCACUGUGCAUGCCUCACUAAGUGUAGCAUAAUGCCCUAGAGCGCUACAAAUCCUGUCUCCUUUCUUCCAGAACAUAUUUCAUAAUAUGGUAAUGUCUCUCUCCUGUGUAUGUUCCCUAUGCCUCUAACUUAGUUUUCCCCUCCGUCUCUAUAUGUCUUCCUGUUUAGUUUUCCCCUCCGUCUCUGUACGUCUUCCUGUUUAGUUUUCCCCUCUGUCUCUAUAUGUCUUCCUGUUUAGUUUUCCCCUCCGUCUCUAUAUGUCUUCCUGUUUAGUUUUCCCCUCCGUCUCUGUUUGUCUUCCUGUUUAGUUUUCCCUCCGUCUCUGUACGUCUUCCUGUUUAGUUUUCCCUCCGUCUCUAUAUGUCUUCCUGUUUAGUUUUCCCCUCCGUCUCUGUACGUCUUCCUGUUUAGUUUUCCCCUCCGUCUCUGUACGUCUUCCUGUUUAGUUUUCCCCUCCGUCUCUGUACGUCUUCCUGUUUAGUUUUCCCCCUCCGUCUCUAUAUGUCUUCCUGUUUUUUACAUUUGUCUCACUCUGCCUUUUUCACCCUCUCCAUGCUGUCUCCCUGCCUCCCCUCUCUCCCUCCUCUCCCUCGUUUCCACCCCUCUCCCUGCCUCUUCUCUCCCUACUUUCUCUCUCACCCUCAUUCCUCUCUCGCCCUGCCUCCUCUCCUCUGCCAGCUUUUCUCGCUCCCUCCCCCUCUUUUCUCUCUCCCUGCCACAUCUCUUCUCUCCCUGCCUCCUCUCCUCUCUCACUCCCUGCCUCCUCUCCUCUCCCACUCCCUGCCUCCUCUCCUCUCUCUCCCUGCCUCCUCUCCUCUCUCUCCCUGCCUCCUCUCCUCUCUCACUCCCUGCCUCCUCUCCUCUCCCACUCCCUGCCUCCUCUCCUCUCUCUCCCUGCCUCCUUUCCUCUCUCUCCCUGCCUCCUCUCCUCUCUCACUCCCUGCCUCCUCUCCUCUCUCUCCCUGCCUCCUCUCCUCUCUCUCCCUGCCUCCUCUCCUCUCUCACUCCCUGCCUCCUCCCCUCUUUCUCCCUGCCUCCUCUCUCUCCCAUCAGCCUACACAUUUCCUCCAGACUGGGUCAGAAUAGCUGGCUGCUCUGUUGCUCCUUCCUCUCACCACUACCUCUACAUCCAACUCUUGCUCCUCCUCAACCGUCAGCGCGCUCCUUCUUCUCCUCUAGUUCCAUGGUAUAAUUCAAACGUGGUGUCUCAGUAGAUAGACCCUCUCUGCCACUCCUCCCCUCUCCUCCAUCUCUGUCCAGAGGUAUCUAUAUGUACCUGUUUUUUUUCUUCUCGUUAUCUCUCAACACUGGGUUUCAGUAGCUAUCUAUUAUCACGCGCAGCAUUAGUCGGCAGUAGCUAGAUGGUGUUUUUCUCCUCUCUCUCCCCAGUAGUUCUCUGCAGCUAGCUGGUGCGCUGCAGGGCGAGAUGCUGUUGUGAAGCUGGGGGACUGAGGGAGAGAGAACCAAAGAACAUCUACUGUAGUUACCAAUCGUAGCACCGUACUCAGCUAUUUGAACCACGGCCAACAGCGCCGCUUUUCCACUCCACAAGGCCAGAACAACGGUCUUCAGGGGCUUGCGGUUUAUUUUCUUCCGUCAAAAGCGAGGCAAAGUGCUAUAUUAGACGUUCAUUUGACGUUUGUCUGUCGUAAGGCAAGCAAAAACAGUGAACUAAAUAGUCUGAAGUAGCCUGUCUGUGUUUCAUCUGAGCACUCUCUCCCAGUUUAUACUCAUAUCCUCCAUGCCUUCGCUUUCUCCUCUCUUUCUCCCAGCAGCCCUCCCUCUCAUCACUCCUCUAACUCCUGCCCUCUCAUCAGUCCUCCCUCGCCCUCCCUCCGGCCCCCUCUCAUCAUCUCUCACGUCUUUCCUUUACCUCCAUAUCUCUCCCCAUCCUUCCCUUUCUCCCUCAUGCCUUCUCUCCCUCCCAC
Molecule: long non-coding RNA, 4971 nt
Organism: Esox lucius (northern pike)
Lineage: Eukaryota; Metazoa; Chordata; Actinopteri; Esociformes; Esocidae
Source: Ensembl